GACGAACGCUGGCGGCGUGCUUAACACAUGCAAGUCGAGCGGUAAGGCCCUUUCGGGGGUACACGAGCGGCGAACGGGUGAGUAACACGUGGGUGACCUGCCCUCAGCUCUGGGAUAAGCCUGGGAAACCGGGUCUAAUACCGGAUACGACUCCAUGACGCAUGUUGUGGGGUGGAAAGCCUUGUGCGGCUGAGGAUGGGCCCGCGGCCUAUCAGCUUGUUGGUGGGGUGAUGGCCACCAAGGCGACGACGGGUAGCCGGCCUGAGAGGGCGACCGGCCACACUGGGACUGAGACACGGCCCAGACUCCUACGGGAGGCAGCAGUGGGGAACCUUGCGCAAUGGGCGAAAGCCUGACGCAGCGACGCCGCGUGAGGGAUGACGGCCU
Molecule: ribosomal RNA, 387 nt
Filed under: uncultured bacterium
Lineage: Bacteria
Description: bacterial SSU rRNA
Rfam family: Bacterial small subunit ribosomal RNA
Source: RNAcentral